AGAUUCUUCCACCCACUGUCAGGAGAAAGAUUAAAGUGUGACUUUAAAAUUCCGCGCAUUCAUAGCUUUUAUCACCGCAAAAUCCAAGAGCUGAAAUCAAUUUGCAAAUUCGAAAUCCCCCAUAUUUAGUAUCCGAUUUUCGAAGCAUAUAUUUAUCCAAACAUCCAAUCCAAAAUUCUACUCAAUUUCCGAUUCCUCGGCGUCCCUGUCUUUGUCCAUCCACCAAGAACAAUCUCCAUCUCUCUCUCCUUCCACUUUUGUCCCACCUAUCUCAGGUGAAGAAUAUAACCCAAAGUUAUAUCAGAGCCACAAAGGCGUCCAACAUUGUUAGAUAAAAGAGGGAGGGUACUGGUCCGCGGAGGCAGUGGGACUUCUGCGAGCUUUGUGUCCUCUCUCGUACUUGUCAAAGUACAAUAAUUGCUCCUAGAGAUCUUUUGCUUAAUGCACAAGUGGAGCUUGAUUGGUUUCGGCUGAUGAGAGUGGAGAACUGUUGUGGAGGUUUAUUUUUAAGCUGACAUAAUGGGUUCUGUUUGUUGUUGUUUGAAUGCUGAGGAUUUUGAAGACUACGUGAAUCCAAACAGUUCUGCAUAUAGGAACUGUAUCUGUCUUAGUUGCUUUAUUGAGAACUUUGUAAAUGUGUAUACAUCAUUAUUCAGAAGAGGAGAAGUGCAUUCGAUCCCGUCAUCCAUUCAGGGGGCUGCAUCGAUGACUUCCUCAGCAUCACUAGACAACUCUAUAUCUGACAUGUAUCGUUCUCCUCCAAGGCCCUUGCCUUAUGAUGCUGACCCCAGAUACAUCCGCUUGCAACGGGAUGGGUUGAUUUCUAGGCGCGAGAAAGGCUCAAGUCAUUCUCAUGAGGAGGCCGAGCCUCUAAGAAGUGAUACUGAUGCAGAUUCUGACUGUUUGAGUACAGGAGAAAAAUGGAAUGGGUCUGCUUGUGAAGAUGGAGUAAAAGAACAUCGUUCCAAGUCCUCAAUGAAGUUCUCAUCGGCAAAAGCUACAACUGUAGUUGGGAACUUUUAUAUAUCAUCAGAGGACGAGGAUGUCUGUCCAACAUGUCUUGAAGAAUAUACUCCAGAAAACCCCAAAAUAAUGACAAAAUGCUCUCAUCAUUUUCACCUUGGUUGUAUAUAUGAGUGGAUGGAGAGAAGUGAAAGCUGCCCUGUUUGUGGCAAGGUGAUGGUAUUCGAUGAAACGACUUAAUCACGAUUGAAAGGUUUGUGUCGUUGAUGAAGCCAAAAACAGCUGAAGAUAUAGCAUACUAAAGAAGUGAUGCCAUUGUGAAUACCACAUGUCAAAAACUGUCAUUGAUCAUAGUACAUAUAAACUUCAUUUCUGAUGACCAUUGUUGGGGCUAAACGCCCAAACAAAACAAACUACAAACCAAAAGAACGGGGCCUCACAGCACCCCUAGCAUCCUCAGCAAGAAUAAAUUCAAGGAAGUCAGGAACCUCAUCGUAGACAUGGAGACCAGGUUCAAGAGUAUAACUUCUGGUAGCCAAAGCAUCAGCAGCUACAUUUUGUUCACGGUAGAUAUGCUUAACUGCACAAUACCAGGAAUCAUGGAUCUUCAUUUUACAGCAGGAAAUGAUGCUGUAGAGAGGGAUUUAUAGUUAAUUUUUCACUUCCCUCAGAACCCAUCAAACUCUCACACCUCUCAUCUCUUCUUUGCACAUUCACCCCCUUCAUGGUCUCUCUUGAAGAUAUGCUAUGAGCCCAAAUUUUACAACGUUAUAAAUGUCGUAUUAGAAGGGAAAGACUGAACAACAUUGUCCUAAUUAUUUGUCUCAAUAACACAAGGAUUGAGAUA
Molecule: non-coding RNA, 1810 nt
Organism: Prunus avium (sweet cherry)
Lineage: Eukaryota; Viridiplantae; Streptophyta; Magnoliopsida; Rosales; Rosaceae
Source: RefSeq, a predicted model, not a curated record